UGAACGUCUUGAAACACGGACCAAGGAGUCUAACAUAUCUGCGAGUAUUUGGGUGUCAAACCCGAAUGCGYAAUGAAAGUGAACGUAGGAGCGAUCCGCAAGGUGCAUCUUCGACCGAUCUGGAUCUUUACUGAUGGAUUUGAGUAAGAGCAUAUAUGUUGGGACCCGAAAGAUGGUGAACUAUGCCUGAAUAGGGCGAAGCCAGAGGAAACUCUGGUGGAGGCUCGUACCGAUUCUGACGUGCAAAUCGAUCGUCAAAUUUGGGUAUAGGGGCGAAAGACUAAUCGAACCAUCUAGUAGCUGGUUCCUCCGA
Molecule: ribosomal RNA, 313 nt
Filed under: Pselionema sp. MKL1
Lineage: Eukaryota; Metazoa; Nematoda; Chromadorea; Plectida; Ceramonematidae
Description: eukaryotic LSU rRNA
Rfam family: Eukaryotic large subunit ribosomal RNA
Source: RNAcentral